GUGCCAGCAGCCGCGGUAAUACGGAGGGUGCAAGCGUUAAUCGGAAUGAUUGGGCGUAAAGCGCACGCAGGCGGUCUGUUAAGUUGGAUGUGAAAUCCCCGGGCUUAACCUGGGAACAGCAUUCAAAACUGACAGGCUAGAGUCUCGUAGAGGGGGGUAGAAUUCCAGGUGUAGCGGUGAAAUGCGUAGAGAUCUGGAGGAAUACCGGUGGCGAAGGCGGCCCCCUGGACGAAGACUGACGCUCAGGUGCGAAAGCGUGGGGAGCAAACAGGAUUAGAUACCCCUGGUAGUCCACGCCGUAAACGAUGUCGACUUGGAGGCUGUGGUCUAGAACCGUGGCUUCCGGAGCUAACGCGUUAAAUCGACCGCCUGGGGAGUACGGCCGCAAGGUUAAAACUCAAAUGAAUUGACGGGGGCCCGCACAAGCGGUGGAGCAUGUGGUUUAAUUCGAUGCAACGCGAAGAACCUUACCUACUCUUGACAUCCAGAGAACUUUCCAGAGAUGGAUUGGUGCCUUCGGGAACUCUGAGACAGGUGCUGCAUGGCUGUCGUCAGCUCGUGUUGUGAAAUGUUGGGUUAAGUCCCGCAACGAGCGCAACCCUUAUCCUUUGUUGCCAGCGGUUAGGCCGGGAACUCAAAGGAGACUGCCAGUGAUAAACUGGAGGAAGGUGGGGAUGACGUCAAGUCAUCAUGGCCCUUACGAGUAGGGCUACACACGUGCUACAAUGGCAUAUACAAAGAGAAGCGACCUCGCGAGAGCAAGCGGACCUCAUAAAGUAUGUCGUAGUCCGGAUUGGAGUCUGCAACUCGACUCCAUGAAGUCGGAAUCGCUAGUAAUCGUAGAUCAGAAUGCUACGGUGAAUACGUUCCCGGGCCUUGCACACACCGCCCGU
RNAcentral lists this ribosomal RNA (893 nucleotides) under uncultured bacterium. Its description in RNAcentral is "bacterial SSU rRNA". It matches the Rfam family "Bacterial small subunit ribosomal RNA", at positions 505 to 1397 of the family's 1533-position model. The record is from RNAcentral.